This 497-nucleotide ribosomal RNA is filed under the name uncultured bacterium. Its description in RNAcentral is "partial 16S ribosomal RNA". It matches the Rfam family "Bacterial small subunit ribosomal RNA", at positions 28 to 507 of the family's 1533-position model. The record is from RNAcentral.
GAUGAACGCUGGCGGCGUGCCUAAUACAUGCAAGUCGAGCGAACAGACGAGGAGCUUGCUCCUCUGACGUUAGCGGCGGACGGGUGAGUAACACGUGGAUAACCUACCUAUAAGACUGGGAUAACUUCGGGAAACCGGAGCUAAUACCGGAUAACAUGUUGAACCGCAUGGUUCAUCAGUGAAAGACGGUCUUGCUGUCACUUAUAGAUGGAUCCGCGCCGCAUUAGCUAGUUGGUAAGGUAACGGCUUACCAAGGCAACGAUGCGUAGCCGACCUGAGAGGGUGAUCGGCCACACUGGAACUGAGACACGGUCCAGACUCCUACGGGAGGCAGCAGUAGGGAAUCUUCCGCAAUGGGCGAAAGCCUGACGGAGCAACGCCGCGUGAGUGAAGAAGGUCUUCGGAUCGUAAAACUCUGUUAUUAGGGAAGAACAAAUGUGUAAGUAACUAUGCACGUCUUGACGGUACCUAAUCAGAAAGCCACGGCUAACUACGUG